CAUGUAGGCGGUCUUGUAAGCUUGGCGUGAAAGACCACGGCUCAACCGUGGGAUUGCGUUGAGAACUGCGAGGCUUGAGUGACGGAAAGGGAGCUAGAAUUCCUGGUGUAGGGGUGGAAUCUGUAGAGAUCAGGAAGAAUACCAAUGGCGAAGGCAAGCUCCUGGCCGAUGACUGACGCUGAGGUGCGAAAGUGUGGGGAUCAAACAG
This 208-nucleotide ribosomal RNA is filed under the name uncultured bacterium. RNAcentral describes it as "partial 16S ribosomal RNA". It matches the Rfam family "Bacterial small subunit ribosomal RNA", at positions 568 to 775 of the family's 1533-position model. The record is from RNAcentral.